RNAcentral lists this ribosomal RNA (497 nucleotides) under uncultured bacterium. Its description in RNAcentral is "partial 16S ribosomal RNA". It matches the Rfam family "Bacterial small subunit ribosomal RNA", at positions 28 to 507 of the family's 1533-position model. The record is from RNAcentral.
GAUGAACGCUGGCGGCGUGCCUAAUACAUGCAAGUCGAACGAAAAGACGCGGAGUUUGCUCCUCUGACGUUAGCGGCGGGCGGGAGAGAAACGCGUGUAUCACCUCCCUAUCAGUCUGGGAUAACUUCGGGAAACCGGAGCUAAUACGGGAUAAUAUAUUGAACCGCGUGGUUCAAUAGUGAAAGACGGUGUUGCGGUCUCUUAUAGAUGGAUCCGCGCCGCAUUAGCUAGUUGGUAAGGUAACGGCUUACCAAGGCGACGAUGCGUAGCCGACCUGAGAGGGUGAUCGGCCACACUGGAACUGAGACACGGUCCAGACUCCUACGGGAGGCAGCAGUAGGGAAUCUUCCGCAAUGGGCGAAAGCCUGACGGAGCAACGCCGCGUGAGUGAUGAAGGUCUUCGGAUCGUAAAACUCUGUUAUUAGGGAAGAACAAAUGUGUAAGUAACCAUGCACGUCUUGACGGUACCGAAUCAGAAAGCCACGGCUAACUACGUG